CGAACCGUCCAAACGUUAUUCGGAAUCACUGGGCUUAAAGGGUACGUAGGCGGCGCUGUCAGUCGGGUGUGAAAUCCCACGGCUCAACCGUGGAACUGCGCCCGAUACUGCAGUGCUUGAGGGAGACAGAGGUAAGCGGAACUGAUGGUGGAGCGGUGAAAUGCGUUGAUAUCAUCAGGAACACCGGUGGCGAAAGCGGCUUACUGGGUCUCUUCUGACGCUGAGGUACGAAAGCUAGGGGAGCGAAGGGGAUUAGAUACCCCCGUAGUCCUAGCUGUAAACGUUGAGCACUUGAUCGAGGGCCCCCCCAUAGGCUCUCGGUCGUAGCGAAAGUGUUAAGUGCUCCGCCUGGGGAGUAUGGUCGCAAGGCUG
Molecule: ribosomal RNA, 372 nt
Filed under: uncultured organism
Description: bacterial SSU rRNA
Rfam family: Bacterial small subunit ribosomal RNA
Source: RNAcentral